CCUACGGGUGGCAGCAGUGGGGGAUAUUGCACAAUGGGGGGAACCCUGAUGCAGCGACGCCGCGUGGGUGAAGGAGUGCUUCGGCAUGUAAAGCCCUAUCGGCAGGGAAGAAGCAAAACGGUACCUGACUAAGAAGCCCCGCCUAACUACGUGCCAGCAGCCGCGGUAAUACGUAGGGGGCGGCCGUUAUCCGGAUUCCCUGGGUGUAAAGGGAGCGUAGACGGCCAUCCAAGCCAGGGGUGAAAGCCCGGGGCCCAACCCCGGGACUGCCCUUGGAACUGUGCGGCUAGAGUGUGGGAGGGGCAGGCGGAAUUCCUGGUGUAGCGGUGAAAUGCGUAGAUAUCAGGAGGAACACCAGCGGCGAAGGCGGCCUGCUGGACCGCGACUGACGUUGAGGCUCGAAAGCGUGGGGAGCGAACAGGAUUAGAUACCCGAGUAGUC
RNAcentral lists this ribosomal RNA (441 nucleotides) under uncultured bacterium. RNAcentral describes it as "partial 16S ribosomal RNA". It matches the Rfam family "Bacterial small subunit ribosomal RNA", at positions 338 to 795 of the family's 1533-position model. The record is from RNAcentral.